UUAAGUUCAGCGGGUAUUCCUACCUGAUCCGAGGUCAACCUUCAGAAAGUGGGGGGUUUAACGGCGUGGUCGUCGCUCAGUUCCAGUGCGAGAUAUUGCUACUACGCAGAGGAGGCUAUCGCGAGACCGCCACUAGAUUUCGGGGCCGGCCUGCCGCUAGGGGCGGGCCGUUCCCCAACACCAAGCCCGGGGGCUUGAGG
Molecule: unclassified non-coding RNA, 200 nt
Filed under: Nectriaceae sp.
Lineage: Eukaryota; Fungi; Ascomycota; Sordariomycetes; Hypocreales; Nectriaceae
Description: partial internal transcribed spacer 2
Source: RNAcentral